AAAUUGAAGAGUUUGGAUCAUGGCUCAGAUUGAACGCUGGCGGCGGUAUCUAACACAUGCAAAGUCGAACGGUAACAGGAAGCAGCUUGCUGCUUCGCUGACGAGUGGCGGACGGGUGAGUAAUGUCUGGAAACUGCCUGAUGGAGGGGAUAACUACUGGAAACGGUGGCUACCACCGCAUAACGUCGCAAGACCAAAGAGGGGGGACCUUCGCCUCUUGCCAUCAGAUGUGCCCAGAUGUGGAUUAGCUUGUUGGUGAGGUAACGGCUCACCAUGACGUGAUCCCUAGCUGGUCUGAGAGGACACCAGCCAUACUCGGAACUGAGACACGGUCCACCCUACUACGGAGUAUGUGCGUGGGGAAUAUUGCACACAAUGGCGCAAGCUUCCGAUGCAGCCAUGCCGCGUAUGAAGAAGCGCCCUGGGUUGUAAAAGUACUUUCAGCGGAGUGAAGGUGUUGUGGUUAAUAACCGCAGCAAUUGACGUUACCCGCAGAAGAAGCACCGGCUAACCUCGUGCCAGCAGCCGCGUGGUAAUACGGAGGGUGCGUUAAUCGGAAUUACUGGGCGUAAAGGCACGCAGGCGUCUGUCAAGUCGGAUGUGAAAUCCCGGGCUCAACCUCGGGAAACUGCAUUCGAAACCGGCAGGCUUGAGUCUUGUAGAGGUGUGGGUAGAAUUCCGGUGUAGCGGUGAAAUGCGUAGAGAUCUGGAGGAAUACCGGUGGCUAGUUGGGUACCCCGGACAAAGACUGACGCUCAGGUGCGAAAGCGUGGGAGCAACAGGAUUAGAUACCCCGGUAGUCCACGCCAAACGAUGUCUACUUGAGGUUGUGCCCUUGAGGCGUGGUUUUCCGGAGCUAACGCGUUAAGUAGACCGCCUGGGAGUACGGUGGCCGCAAGGUUAAAACUCAAAUGAAUUGACGGGGCCCGCACAAGCGGGUGGAGCAUGGUUUAAUUCGAUGCAACGCGUGAAGAACCUUACCGGUCUUGACAUCCACGGAAGUUUUGUGAGAUGAGAAUGUGCCUUCGGGAACCGUAGAGACAGGUGCUGCAUGGCUGUCGUCAGCUCGUGUUGUGAAAUGUUAGUUGUCCCGCAACGAGCGCAACCCCUUAUCCUUUGUUGCCAGCGAUUAGGUCGGGAACUCAAAGGAGACGCUGCCAGUGAUAAACUGGAGGAAGGUGGGAUGACGUCAGGGAAGUCAUCAUGGCCCUACGACCGUAUUACCACACGUGCUACAAUGGCGCAUAUAGAAGCGACCUCGCGAGAGCAAGCGGAUCCUCAUAAAGUGCGCGCGUCGUAGUCCAGUCCUUCGAAUCGCUAAUCGUGGAUCAGAAUGCCACGGUGAAUAAGCCGCUCCGGCCUUGUACACACCGCCCGUCACACCAUGGGAGUGGGGUUGCAAAAAGAAGUAGGUAGCUUUAACCUCGGGAGUGGCGCUUACCACUUCAGGACUAUGACCGGGGUGAAGUCGUAACAGGUAACCGUAGGGGAACCUGCGGUUGAUCACCUACCUU
RNAcentral lists this ribosomal RNA (1514 nucleotides) under Salmonella enterica subsp. enterica. Its description in RNAcentral is "16S ribosomal RNA". It matches the Rfam family "Bacterial small subunit ribosomal RNA". Lineage: Bacteria; Pseudomonadati; Pseudomonadota; Gammaproteobacteria; Enterobacterales; Enterobacteriaceae. The record is from RNAcentral.